GAUGACUGAAUAGCAAGUACUGGCC
Molecule: transfer RNA, 25 nt
Filed under: Ctenophthalmus dolichus dolichus
Lineage: Eukaryota; Metazoa; Arthropoda; Insecta; Siphonaptera; Ctenophthalmidae
Description: partial tRNA-Lys
Source: RNAcentral